Molecule: long non-coding RNA, 3476 nt
Organism: Equus caballus (horse)
Lineage: Eukaryota; Metazoa; Chordata; Mammalia; Perissodactyla; Equidae
Source: Ensembl
CUCAUGUGGUUCAUGCAUGGCUUGCAGGUGGUUCAGGCAUGGCUGGCAUGUGGUUCAAAUGUGACUGACAUGUGACUCAUGCAUGGCUCACAUGUGUGUCAGGCACAGCUCACACAUGGUUCAGGUGUGGCUCACAUGUGCCUCAGGUGUGGGUGACAGGUGGUUCAGGCAUUGGUGACACAUGGCCCAGGCAUGGGUGACAGGUUGUUCAGGCUUUGGUGACACGUGGCUCAGGAUUGGCUGGCACAUUGCUCACGCUUGACUCAGGUGUGGCUGUCACAUGAUACAGGUGUGGCUGGCUCAUGGUUCAGAUGUGCCUGGCAUGUGGUUCAUGUGUGGCUGAAAUGUGGUUCAGGCUUGGUUGAUACAUGGUUCAGGCGGGGGUGACACAUGGCUCUGGCAUGUCUCUCAUGUGACUCAAACGUGUCUCACAAGUGAUACAGGCAUGGCUUGCUCGUGUUAGAGGCAUUUUUAACAUGUGGUUCAGGUGUGGCUGAAACAUGGUUCAGGUGUGGCGGACACAUGGUUCAGGCAUGGCUGGCACAUGUUUCAGACGUGCCCAGCAUGUGGAUCAGGAAUGCCCUACACGUGGUUCCAGUGUGCCUGUCAUGUGGAUACAGCAUGGUUGGCAUGUGCUUCGGGUGUGGCAGGCACGUGGUUCAGGCAUUCCAGCUACAGGUAUCAGGCCUGGCAGGAACAUGUUUCUGCUGUGGCCAACACGUGGUUCAUUCAUGGCCAGCAUUUUGUACAUGCAUGGCAGAAACGUGUUUCAGGCAUGGUGGAAACGUGGUUCAUGUGUGGCUGGCUUGUGGUUCAGGUGUGGCAACCACGUGGUUCAGAUGUGCCAUUAACAUGGUUCAGGUGGGGAGAAGACAUGUUUCUGGCAUGACUGGCAUGUUGUUCAGUUGUGUCAGUCUCGUGGUUCAGGGAUGGUUGGCGCAUUGUUCAAGGGUGGCUGUAAAGUAUUUCAGGGGUGGGUGACAUAUGGUUCAGGUGUGGGUGACAUGAGGUUCUUGAGUGGCUGGAAUGUGGUUGACAUGUGGCUGGCAUGUGUUUCAGGGCAGCUGGCAUGUUGAUGAGUCAUGGCUGUGAUGUGUUUGUGUCAUUUUUGACACGUGUUUCAGGCGUGGCUGACAUGUCUUUCAGGCUUGGCUGGCUCAUGGAUCAGGCGUGCCUGGCUCAUGGUUCAGUCAUGGCUGGCACAUAGUUCAGGCAUGGCUGGCAUGUGGUUCGUGUGUGGCUGGCACAUAGUUCCAACAUGCAUGACACGUGGUUCUGGCAUGGCUGGCACUUGGUUCUGGCAUGGAUGGCAUGUAGUUCAGGUGGCGAUGGCAUGUCAUUCUGGUGUGGUUGGCACAUGGGUCAGGAGUGCCUGGCUGGUGGUUCCUGUGUGGCCAGCAUGUACUUCUUGCAUUGAUGGCAUGUGCUUCACAUGUGGCUGGCACAUGGUUCAGGCAUGGCAGAAAGGUGGUUCAGGUGUGGCUGGCACGUGGUUCAGGGGUGGAUGGCACAUGGAUCUGGUGUGGUCAGCAUGUGGUUCAGGCGUGGGACUCACGUGGUUCAGGUGUGGCCAGCACCUGUUGUCAGUGUGCAAGAACCAUGCUUCAGGCUUGGAUGGCACAUGCUUCCAGUGAGUCCGGCAGGUGUUUCUGGCUUGUCAGCACAUGGGUCACUUUUGGCCAGGACAUGGUUCAUGCAUGGAUGGCACGUGGUUCAAGCUCUGAUGGCAAGUGGUUCAGGCGUGACUGGAAUAUGAUUCAGGUGUGGCCGGCACGUAUUUCCAACAUGGUCAGCAGAUGGAUCUUGCAUGACAGCCAUGUGGUUCAAGCAUGUCUGGCGUGUGGUUCAGGUGUGGUGGAAAUGUAGUUCAAGGGUGGCAAAAACAUCAUUCACAUGUGGGUGAAUGGUGGCUCAGGUGUGGUGGAAACGUUGUCCAACCAUGACAUGCUUGUGUUUCAGGCAUGUCUGGCACAUGGAUCCAGCGUGGCUUGCAUGUGGUUUAGGCAUGGCAGAAACGUCAUUCAGGCAUGGCUGGCAUGUAGUUGAGGCAUGGCUGAAACGUGCUUCAGGUGUGGGUGACAUGUGGUUCAAAUUUCGGUCACAAGUGGCUCUGGUCUGGCUGGCAUGUGGUUCAUGCAUGACUCACAUGUGGUUCAGGGUGUCUGGCACAUUGAUCAGUCAUGGCUGGGACGUGUUUAUAUCAUGAGUGACACGUGUUUCAGGUGUGGCUGAGAUGUGUCUCAUGUAUGGCUGGCAAGUGGUUCAGGCAUGCCCAGCACAUGAUUUAGGCAUGGAUGGCAUGUGUUUCUGUUGUGGCAAGCACGUGGGUAAUACCAGGCCAGCCCAUGGCUCCGGCGUGGCUGUCAUGUACAUCUGGCAUGCCUGGGACGUUGUUCAUGCAUGGUGGAAAUGUGGUUCUGCUAUGGCUGGCAUGUGUUUCAGACAUUGAUGGCACAUGGUUCAGGCAUGGAAGGCACAUGGUUCAGGCAUGGCAGAAUCAUGGUUCAGGUAUGGCAGAAAUGUGGUUCAGUUGUGGCCAGCAAUUGUUUAGGCAUGGUUCAGGUGUGGCUGGCAUGUGCUUUAGGCAUGCCUGGCAUGUUGUUCUUGCUUGAGAGGCAUGUGGUUCACGUGUAGCAAGCAUGUGGUUCAUGAGUGGCUGGCAUGUGGCUCAGGCCUGGUGAAAACAUGGUUCAGGCAUGGCAGAAACGUUGUUCAGGUCAGGCUGGCAAGUGGUACAUGUGGGGCAGGGAUAUGGUUCAUGGGUAGCCAGCACAUGUUUCCAGCAUGACCAGCAUGUGGCGCCAGCAUGGCUGGCACAUUGUUCAGGUGUAGCCACCAAGUGUUUCAGGCAUGGCUGGCAUGUGGUUCAGGCAUGGCUGAAACAUGAUUCAGGCGUGUGUGACACAUUGUUCAGACAUGGGUGACACGUGGUUUUGGCAUGGCUGGCACAUGGUUCACAUGUGGCUGGCAUGUGGUUCAGGGUGGUAGGCAUGUUGAUCAGGUGUGGAUGGCACGUGUUUGUGUCUUGUGAGACAAGUGCUUCAGGCAUUAAUGGCAUGUGUUUCAGGCAUGGCCGGCAUGUGGUUCUAAGUGUUGAUGUGACAUGGUUGAGGCAUUGCCAGCAUGUGUUUCUGGCAUGGCUGGCACAUGCUUCAGGCAUUGCAGGCAUGUGGUACAGGCCUGGCAGAAUCCUGGUUUGGGUGUGGUGGAAACGUGGUUCAGGUCUGGCCAGCAACUGUUUCAAGCAUGGCUGGCAUGUGGUUCUGUCAUGACAGGCACAUAGUUCAGGUGUGGCAGAAAUGUGGUUCAGGAGUGGCUGGCAUGUUGUUCAGGCAUGGCGGAAACAUGGUUCAGUCAUGGAGGGAACAUGGUUCAGGUGGGGCCGGCAUGUGGUUCAGGCCUGGCUGGCACGUGGUUCAGACUUGGCUGAAAUGUGGUUCAGGAAUGUGUGAAACACUCUUCAGAACUGGGUGACA